CAAUUUAACCAUUUCUGUGUGUUUUGGGUAAGAAAAGGCCCUGAAGCCCAAAUUUACCCAAUUUCGGAGGGUUCUGGGGAAAACAAAGGCCUUAAAAUCCAAAUUUACCCAUUUCUGAGUGCUCCUGUGGAAAAAUAGGCCCGAAAACCCAAACCGACCCAUUUCUGUGUGUUUUGGAGAAAAAAAGGCCCCCAAACCCAAAUUUAACCAUUUCUGUGUAUUUU
This 224-nucleotide long non-coding RNA is filed under the name Gallus gallus (chicken). Lineage: Eukaryota; Metazoa; Chordata; Aves; Galliformes; Phasianidae. The record is from RNAcentral.